GUGGCCGGAAGACGGAGCUCCGGCGAAAAACCCUUUCCGGCAGUCGAACCUUUCGGGGUUGACCGCUCCUUCAUGGCGGCGUUCCGCGCGCGUGCACCGGUCCAGGAUGAGAGAGGAAGAGGCAACGGUCCGAACGGGACCAGUCUGGCGGUCGGUGGUGGCCGGACGGCGGUGGACGGCGGUGGUGAAGUUUCCGGGCGGAGGGAGGAGAAAAUCGGGUGGGAGGAGAGAGAAUCGGGAGGAAAAGAGAGAAGUGAGGGGAGAGAAAUAUAUGGGCUUGGCCCAAACCGGUCCACACCACUUAUAACCCAACUCAAAAAUAAAAACACCCCGAAAAAUAAUACCCGAAUAAAAUUACCUUUUACUAGCUAAAAUUUACCAUUUUUACCGUCGUCGUAUUUUCCUCAAACGAAUAAUCCUCCGCACAUAAUCGUCCCCGAAACCCCUCUAGGGACCAAUUAAACUAUUUACUCAAUGAUCGAGACGGUAAAAUUCUUAUUAUAAUCACGCUAGUAAAUAAGGUAAAAAUAUAAGGGUCGGGAUGUGACAUGUAACAUGGAUUUUAAUAGAUUUCUAUUCUAGUACGUAGUGGGACGCUGCCGUUGUGGUGCAGCAUCACGCUGCAAUUAUUAUUAUAUAAAUUCAUGUAACUAUGCAUGAAACUAUCCAUGUAAUUGUCCAUGUAACUACCCAUGUAAUUAUAAAUUGUUAGUUACCUAGGUAGUUACAUUGCUAGUUACAUGGAUUUUAAUAGAUUUCUGUUCUAAUAUGCAGCGGGACGCUGUCGUUGCUGUGCAGCAACACGUUGCAAUUAUGGCAAAGCAAUUUGUCAAACCACAGAAUAUGGCAAAGAAAAGCAAAGCAAUCUGUAACAAAGAAAAGGAAAGCAAUCUAUAACACAGAAUAUGGCAAAACAAUGUAAAGCAAAGCAAUCAUGUAACUAUUGCAAAGCAAAGCAAUCAUGUAACACUUUUUUUUCUUCACACAGAACACAGAAUAUGGCAAAGCAAAACAAUCUGUAACAAGCUACACUUUUUUUCUCACACAAAACACAUAAUAUGACAAAACAAAGAAAUCUAUAACAAGCUACACUUUUUUUUCUCACACAUAACACAUAAUAUGGCAAAGCAAAACAAUCUGUAACAAGUUACACUUUUUUUUCUCACAUAGAACACAAAAUAUGACAAAACAAAGAAAUUUAUAACAAGUUACACUUUUUUUCUCACACAGAACACAUAAUAUGACAAAGCAAAGCAAUCUGUAUUAAUAGAGAUAUGUUCCACACAAAUAAUCUUUCAUUUAGCUGUUCAAAUACAAUUGAUGAAACAUUGAUAUUAAACUUGGUGAACCUACUGCGGAUGACGUAUGGAGUACCAACUAUGCCUAUGGUUAAGAAACCUCUUCACCACUUGUGCUCUAAGCAUCAAAACAUCAUUCUUCUUCAAUGUUCUGUCAAAUGUUUCCUCCUUGGAAAGUUUGUCCAUAUAGUACAUAACGAAUAUCCCACAAUCCAAUAUGUUUUUCAAAAAAAAAAUUUAAGUCAAAACAUAAUCAUUGAACAAACAGUCAAUUUCUUACAUAAUAGUUUCCCUACGUAACUAUCCAUGUAACUACAGACUGAUAGUUACCUGGGUAGUUACCUAACCAAAACUUUAACUCUGAAUUGAAAAGUUUUAAAACUUACAAUGUGGGAUCUUGCUGAGGUAGUGGGCCAUUGACUUGACAACUGAUCGGGAUCUUUUCAAAAUAGUUUUUCUUGACCCAUUGUAUGGACUCUCUCUCUCUCNNNN
This 1790-nucleotide long non-coding RNA is filed under the name Fragaria vesca (wild strawberry). Its description in RNAcentral is "long non-coding RNA (FVES_LNC005506)". The record is from RNAcentral. Lineage: Eukaryota; Viridiplantae; Streptophyta; Magnoliopsida; Rosales; Rosaceae.